CCCUUAGAUGUUCUGGGCCGCACGCGCGCUACACUGAUGCAUUCAACGAGUCUAAAACCUGCUCUGAUAGGGGUGGGUAAUCUUUUGAAUGUGCAUCGUGAUUGGGAUAGAUGAUUGCAAUUUUUCAUCUUCAACGAGGAAUGCCUAGUAAACGCAAGUCAUCAGCUUGCAUUGAUUACGUCCCUUCCCUUUGUACACACCGCCCGUCGCUCCUACCGAUUGAAUGAUCCGAUGAAUAUCAUGGAUUGAGGAUGCAAGCAGGUUCGCCUGUCUUCAUCUUCGAGAAGUGAAGUAAAUCUUAUCAUUUAGAGGAAGGAGAAGUCGUAACA
Molecule: ribosomal RNA, 329 nt
Filed under: uncultured eukaryote
Lineage: Eukaryota
Description: partial 18S ribosomal RNA
Rfam family: Eukaryotic small subunit ribosomal RNA
Source: RNAcentral